Molecule: ribosomal RNA, 440 nt
Filed under: uncultured bacterium
Lineage: Bacteria
Description: partial 16S ribosomal RNA
Rfam family: Bacterial small subunit ribosomal RNA
Source: RNAcentral
CCUACGGGAGGCAGCAGUGGGGAAUAUUGCACAAUGGGGGAAACCCUGAUGCAGCGACGCCGCGUGAGUGAAGAAGUAUUUCGGUACGUAAAGCUCUAUCAGCAGGGAAGAAAAUGACGGUACCUGACUAAGAAGCCCCGGCUAACUACGUGCCAGCAGCCGCGGUAAUACGUAGGGGGCAAGCGUUAUCCGGAUUUACUGGGUGUAAAGGGAGCGUAGACGGCAGCGCAAGUCUGGAGUGAAAUCCCAUGGCUUAACCAUGGAACUGCUUUGGAAACUGUGCAGCUAGAGUGCAGGAGCGGUAAGCGGAAUUCCUGGUGUAGCGGUGAAAUGCGUAGAUAUUAGGAGGAACACCAGUGGCGAAGGCGGCUUACUGGACUGUAACUGACGUUGAGGCUCGAAAGCGUGGGGAGCAAACAGGAUUAGAUACCCCGGUAGUC